This 158-nucleotide non-coding RNA is filed under the name bovine gut metagenome. The record is from RNAcentral.
AGUGCCGUACGGAGAAUAGGGAAUCAGGUGCAAGUCCUGAGCGAUCCGGUCACUGUAAGCAGCAAGCAUUCUGCAUUUAUGCCAUUGCCGGGCAGGCCCCGGUGAGAAGGCGCAGUACAUGCAUUUUUCUGUAAGCCAGGAGACCUGCUGACGGUUAU